UAUUUAAACAAUUAACGGUAGGGCCAUGAUAUGUUGCAAGUAUGUGACGGCAUAGGAAGAAGAGGAUCGAUCCUCGGUAAUAUCGAUGAAAUAUUCGAGGUCAAGGAGUUGUUUCUGAAACUUCGGACGAUGUGGAUGUGUUCUGAUGUAAAGACUGUGGUCCAAUCUACAGUCAUAUAUUGGGUUGGCAUCAUUAGGUGGUAAUGACAAAAUCCACAAUCACUUGGUUACCAACCCAAUAAAUAUGUCUCGAUACUUAUAUAUUAUACCGAAAGCAUAGAAGAUACUCUCCAAAAAUUGAAUCGCGAAAAGUCAACAUGGAAGGACAUCGAAGUCCUUGUUCUUGCGGGACAUGCUAUAAAUGUCUCAGACAGAGACUGACACACUUCACUUAUCUCUGUCUGUCAUGCAAGAACAACAACUUUGAUGUCAUACAUGUUGAUUUUCCACGACUCAACUUUCGGACGAUUCCACGUAGCAGAUAUCGAGACUUUAUAAGACCGUCGAUUGGGCCACGAUCGUACACACACGUCUGGGAACUCCUACGAAAGGGGAUUUUUUGUGUAACGUUAUCAUGGAGAAAUAACCCAGACCCGGUCGUAUCUGCCCCUUUCUCUGUCUGUCUGUGCCCCCCCCCCCCUCCCCGUUUAAUGCAGCCGUGGACUCGAUUCACGGCAGACCGAGUAGCACGGGAGAUGAAAGGAGGAAACAAGAUCACGACAACGAUUUUAGAGACCAACUUUUGUUUUAUAUGAUUAUUAUGAUUACCUUACUAUUACUUUGUAUUUAACUAAUGUCAAAUAAGUGUUAUGUAACAUAAA
Long non-coding RNA from Bombus pyrosoma, 821 nucleotides. RefSeq lists it as uncharacterized. The record is from RefSeq and is a predicted model, not a curated record. Lineage: Eukaryota; Metazoa; Arthropoda; Insecta; Hymenoptera; Apidae. The transcript has 2 exons.